CACACACACACACACACACACACACACACACACACACACACACACACACACACACACACACACACACACACACUUCUCAACUGGGCAGUACUGUGUGUCUGCAUCUUCACCAAAAUCGAAUCAAUUCGUCCUUGUCACACACAAACCUAUCCACCCAGUUUCAUCCGAAUACGUCCAUAACAUUUUGAGAUAUCCUGUCGCAGAUAAACAGACAAACAGUGAACUUUUCCACAUCCUGCACUCAUCUCAUCAUCAAGAAACCAGAUAAAAGUGAAAAAUUCCUUGCCGCUUGUGCAGCAGGGAUAUGGGUUUUGCAAAAAGAUUACAUCCUGGAGAGUGCACAGAUUGGGCACUGGCUAAAUGAAGAGAACUUUGAAUGGUUAUGUGAGCCUGGAGGUGUCUCAGAAUCUGCAAGCCACCAUGAGGUGUCUCAUCUGUGGAGGAAGCAUAUUGCUACUCAAGGAGGCAGAGGUGCCUUCUUUGGCUGGAAAGUCGUGCUGGAACAGUUUGUGGAUGAGCAGCUCUACUGGAGACUUCUCAGGAUAUUACUGGCUGGACAAGCCAAGAUUUACCCCAAAAUUCCAUCAGACAAGGAUGUGACGUUUGUCAUUCGGAUGGACAAGCGUACCUUCUCUCCGUCUGUGGAAGGAUUGCCGUGUGUAACAGCCACAUACAUAGGAAAGCACUUAUUGAAGGGCCCCAUUCUGUCCCUGGAUAAAAGCCUCCAAGCAAACGGUGCAGGCAUUCUUGCAAGAGCCACGAGCGGAGACCGGAACCCCGAAGAGGCUGCCAAUGAUUUGUUAUCCACAGGAAGUGCUUUGGGAAGCUUUGAGCAGCAAGCAUGCUGUGAGAUACAAGAGGAGUUGCAGACCGAAAGUAUUCCCUGUAAUCCAAUCAAGAAGUUUCGUCGCUGCAGGGAGGACAGUGAGGAACUGAACAAUGCGUCCAAUGUACUGCUGAACGAGCGUGUAGAAACGUUAAACAAUUUCAUUAGCAGCAAGCAGGUAAGCACGCUUCAGUGCAUACUCACCUGAAUGAUCGAUCAUUACCCGUUCGUCAUCGACACCUCUAAUUUACUACCCAUUUUCACUAUGUUCAGUUUAUGUGCAGUUUCUACCAUGGCUCUUACACAGUUGACUGCAGUUUCAGCGAGACAACAAUGUGUCAUCAGGUAAGGCAUUGAUUGAACUUUCUUUAUAAUCCCGUCUUCAAGUGCAUGCUGUUUAUUUUCAAAUCUGGUUUGCUGCAUGCAAUACCUUCUUUUUUCAAUCUUGUUUUUGCGGAUUCAGGUCCGAAAAAUGAGGCAGUCUGCAGUGAAAAGGGUACAAAACAAGAUUGAUUGUGAAUAUAUUACUCAGGCCUUGAGUGAUAUUCGCUCGAAUAUUUGUGUGAAAUUGCGUCCGGGGGGGGGGGGGGGGGGGGGGGGGGGGGGGGGGGGGGGGGGGGGGGGGGGGGGGGGGGGGGGGGGGGGGGGGGGGGG
RNAcentral lists this long non-coding RNA (1480 nucleotides) under Eptatretus burgeri (inshore hagfish). Its description in RNAcentral is "lncRNA (ENSEBUG00000017325.1)". Lineage: Eukaryota; Metazoa; Chordata; Myxini; Myxiniformes; Myxinidae. The record is from RNAcentral.